GGGGAUUUAGCUCAGUGGUAGAGCUCUUGCCUAGCAAGUACAAGGCCCUGGGUUCAGUCCCCA
RNAcentral lists this transfer RNA (63 nucleotides) under Rattus norvegicus (Norway rat). It matches the Rfam family "tRNA". Rfam says of the family: Transfer RNA (tRNA) molecules are approximately 80 nucleotides in length. Their secondary structure includes four short double-helical elements and three loops (D, anti-codon, and T loops). Lineage: Eukaryota; Metazoa; Chordata; Mammalia; Rodentia; Muridae. The record is from Rfam by way of RNAcentral.